AAGUCGUAACAAGGUUUCCGUAGGUGAACCUGCGGAAGGAUCAUUAUUGAAUGAAUCUAGAGUUUGGUUGUCGCUGGCCCCCCCACAAUAAAGGGGGGGGGCAUGUGCACACCUUCUCUUUUCAUCCACACACACCUGUGCACUUGUGAGACGGAGGAUUUUCAGUCCUCCGUCUACUAAUCACACAAACUCAUUAUGACUUGAACUGAAUGUAAUUGAUGUAACACAUCAUUGGAACUAAGUUUCAACAACGGAUCUCUUGGCUCUC
RNAcentral lists this unclassified non-coding RNA (268 nucleotides) under fungal sp. RNAcentral's name for it is "partial internal transcribed spacer region". The stretch from base 1 to 46 matches the Rfam family "Eukaryotic small subunit ribosomal RNA", at positions 1786 to 1831 of the family's 1831-position model. Lineage: Eukaryota; Fungi. The record is from RNAcentral.